GCGGCGGUGGUGCAACGGUUAGCAUACGCUCCCGGAAAGAGUGAGAUCUGGGUUCAAAUCCCGCUGACGCA
Molecule: non-coding RNA, 71 nt
Organism: Parelaphostrongylus tenuis
Lineage: Eukaryota; Metazoa; Nematoda; Chromadorea; Rhabditida; Metastrongylidae
Source: the annotation of a GenBank genome assembly